AUUGAACGCUGGCGGCAUGCUUUACACAUGCAAGUCGAACGGUAACAGGCUGCAAGGUGCUGACGAGUGGCGAACGGGGGAGUAAUGCAUCGGAACGUGCCCAGUCGUGGGGGAUAACUACUCGAAAGAGUAGCUAAUAUCGCAUACUAUCUAUGGAUGAAAGCGGGGGACCGUAAGGCCUCGUGCGAUUGGAGCGGCCUAUGUCAGAUUAGGUAGUUGGUGGGGUAAAGGCUCACCAAGCCAACGAUCUGUAGCUGGUCUGAGAGGACGACCAGCCACACUGGGACUGAGACACGGCCCAGACUCCUACGGGAGGCAGCAGUGGGGAAUUUUGGACAAUGGGCGCAAGCCUGAUCCAGCAAUGCCGCGUGCAGGAAGAAGGCCUUCGGGUUGUAAACUGCUUUUGUACGGAACGAAACGGCUCUGGUUAAUACCCGGGGCUAAUGACGGUACCGUAAGAAUAAGCACCGGCUAACUACGUG
This 482-nucleotide ribosomal RNA is filed under the name uncultured bacterium. Its description in RNAcentral is "partial 16S ribosomal RNA". It matches the Rfam family "Bacterial small subunit ribosomal RNA", at positions 30 to 507 of the family's 1533-position model. The record is from RNAcentral.